Molecule: long non-coding RNA, 3516 nt
Filed under: Mustela putorius furo (domestic ferret)
Lineage: Eukaryota; Metazoa; Chordata; Mammalia; Carnivora; Mustelidae
Description: lncRNA (ENSMPUG00000026563.1)
Source: RNAcentral
CCCUCUCCCCAGGAUCACAGCCGUUCCCUCCACACUCAAAGAAGAGAAGAUAACAUUCCCACCAAGGGGCAUUCCUAGCCCCUUGUAGGUUUGCUGUGUCACACUCUAGAAAUGGCUCUGCCUCUCUGUUCUUCUGGCUCCAUAAGAUGAAGCUGAAUUUGGUGCCCCAAGUUGGUUCAUUCCCAGAUCGUGAAAAGAAUAGAAGAGCAAGUUCAAGAACCAGAUUUCUGGCCAAGGAACAAUCAUCUAAGAAAUUGUAAGCAGGAUUGACCUGAGUGUGGAUGAGUCAGGGCUGUGGAAAGAGGAAGUAGUCAUCCCUCUGGGGGGUCAGUCCUACCAGGGUCGAAGUAAACCUUUCCAGACACACAGACCCCUCUGCUCCCUCAGAGCUUGAAAAGGUUAAGACUCAAAAGCUGCCCUGAAACCUGGAAAUCUUUCCUUCAACAUUAAAAGUCUUCAGAUGUUCCUCCUGCUGUCUAGCCUCAGGGACUGCUCCCUAUCCCAGGAGGUGGCCUCCCCCAAAGAAAGCAUGUCGGUCACAAUCAGUGAUCCUCCAAAGCCCCGGGUAUCCUUCUAGACACUUAUGUCUUCUGGAAUCAGAAUAAGGGCUGCCAACUCCAUCAGAAAUCGGGUUGCUCCUGGAGCCGUGCCGGUGAGCACAUAAACACUUCUUGAAUCCCUGCCCACAUCAUAGAGGUCAUGGCCUACACUGGACACGUGGGUGUUGAGUGAUGGAGGCCAGGAAGGCAAAUGAAACUCCAAGCCUGCCAGAUGAAGGCCCCAGGCUACAAGCAGAUCCUAAAGGACUCACCUCAGCCCCAAGGUUUGACGUGUGAUCAUGUGUGGAUCUCAGACACCCAAGCUAGACAGAAGGAAGGACUUCCCCGAGUACAGGUUGGCAGUGCUGUUAGCAAUUUCAUCAGACAUGGAGGCCUCUCUUCUUGGAAGGCGAUGAAGCAGGAGAGUCCCCAUGCUGCUGAGCCAGGGGUGAGGAAAGGACUGGAGAGAGGGCCCUUGAUAGCAGGAACGCCCUCCUGGAGUCUCCGACAUGUCGCCAUAAAUUGUCUUCUGAGGAGGAAGCCAGAUCCAACAUCUAGUUCGAGCAGUAAAGCCUCCGAGAAGAAGCUGGAAUAACCAGGUGUAAGGGACAUGGGGGGUGAAGGCGGUCACUGUGUGGCUCUGCAGGCUGAGCCAGGACGGCUGCCUACCACCCCAAUCUCCAAAGUGGGCAUGCCACAGGGUUGGGGGGGCAGGAAGGACCUUUUCUAUAAUAUUGUAUUGUUGCUGUCCUGAUCGAGAACCCUCGUACUUCCGGGGUCCCUCAUAGCAAACUUAAAAGCUUCUCUUGGUCUUUCAGGAAGCCUCGUUCAAAAAGCCCCAUUCUGGCACCUGGGUGGCUCAGGCAUUAAGCGUCUGCCUUCGGCUCAGGUCAUGAUCCCAGGGUCCUGGGAUUGAGCCCCGCAUCAGGCUCCCUGCUCAGUGGGGAGACUGCUUCCCUCUCCCACUCCCCCUGCUUGUGUUCCCUCUCUCACUGUGUCUCUCGCUGUCAUUAAAAAAAAAAAGAAAAAGAAAAAAGCCCCAUUCUGGCCCGAAGCCCCCUUCCCCAGGGUGUGUGCUGAGUAUCACGCUCAUAGCCCUGAGGAUGGGUUGGGGGGGGACCCUAGCACCCUCCAGACAGCCUAAGACCUGCACCACUCUAGCUGAGCCAGCAGCCUGGUCCAGUGGAAUGGGCACCAGCCUGGGGAUCAGGGGGCUGGGCUCCUACUCCCCAGCAGGCUGAUCUGGUGCAGUCCUCACCCAAGUAGUGACUGGGUGUCCAGGCCCUGGAGGGAGACUGCCAGGGUUCCAAUUCUGCCUUUGCCACCUAAGGACCUCAGCCAAUUUAUUUAACCUCCCUUGGUUUAGUGUUUUCAUGGGAACACUGCUACCCCCCCCCUAAAGUGAGUGAAUAUUAAAUAUUAAAUGGGGUGACCCAUGGAAAACGUGUAGCACUUAAGACCAGCACAUCCUAGGGGUCAAUAAUCAAACAGACUAUUGUCAUCAUUAUGCACUUCUUUGUCUAGGGAAGGAAACCAAAGCCCAGAGAGGGGAACUGAUUUGGGUCAGAAUUAGAGCCCAGACUUCCUCUCACCUAAUUCAAGAAUGUUCUUCAACACAUUACCUCUGGGCCUUACUUUCUUCGUUUGUAUAAUGAAGGGGUUAGAGGAGACCUUUAAGGUAUAAUGAAGGGAGGGGGGCACCUGGGUGGCUCAGUGGGUUAAAGCCUCUGCCUUUGGCUCAGGUCAUGAUCCCAGGGUCCUAGGAUCAAGCCUCGCAUAGGGCUCUCUGCUCAGCGGUGAGCCUGCUACCCCCCCCCCUCUCUGACUGCCUCUCUGCCUACUUGUGAUCUCUGUUAAAUAAAUAAAUAAGAGCUUAAAAAAAAAAAAAAGGUAUAAUGAAGGGGUUAGAGGAGACCAUUAAGGUUUCCAUGAUCAUCAUCGUCGUCGUCCUCGCCUUAGAACUUCUUUCCAAAGCAACCUAAUCCUGAAUCCUGACACAUAAAUGUGGACUAGGUCCAGAGAAAACGAUGUGAGCGAAGGAGUGGUCUGGAGCCUGAGCAGCAACCCUAGGCCCACCCUAGAGACUGGGGAUAUCCAGACCCCAAGUCAAGCCGUUGGCCAGGAUGAUCUCAGGACUUCUGCCACUGGUACUCUAGGAAGCCAGUGCCCCCAGAAAUAGCAAGACCUGGGAGAGGAGGAAGGGCCGGAAGAAAGAUUUUCUGUUGAUAGGAUGGUCUUCACACCCUCACUGCACAGCAAAGUGGUGGAGGAGGGAGGCAUGCAGGGAGUGAACCAGAAGGCUCAUGGAGAGGGGCUGGUCCACAACCCAGGCACAAACCACCCUGAGUGCCUCCACUCUCCUCAGGCUUCCCAGCUUGGAGCAGCCCGCGCUCCUGCCAUAGCUGCAGCCCAAGAAAACACGGCUAUAAAACAGACAUUUGCUUUAAUUUUGACUUGAAGGGGCAAUUUAGCACAGGCUGUUUGCAAGCUGUCAGAGUUCUUUACGAGGUUCUAUCAUGUUUUCCCAAAAUGCUCCCCACAAGCGGAUUCCUGGGGUCAAAGUUCACACAUAACUAUUUAGGGGGAAGAAGGGUUGGAGGGAGCAUGGGAGAUUGUGGAGACUGUAGAACACACAUACAUACAUAUAUAUGUGUGUGUCUAUAUAUAACCACACAUAUAUAUAGUUUGUUUUUAACUCAGAUCAAGAGUGGCUGGGAGGGGCGCCUGGGUGGCUCAGGUGUCAAGCUGCUGCCUUCGGCUCAGGUCAGGAUCCCAGGGUCCUGGGAUCAAGCCCCACAUCGGGCUCCCUGCUCUGUGGGAAGCCUGCUUCUCCCUCUCCCACUUCCCUUGCUUGUGUUCCCUCUCUCACUGUGUCUCUCUCUGUCAAAUAAAUAAAAUCUUUAAAAAAAAAAAAAAAAAAAAAGAGUGGCUGGGAAACAGCAAGAGAGAGCCCCAUCAGGAGAGCCCCUGGUCAGUG